GAUGAACGCUAGCUACAGGCUUAACACAUGCAAGUCGAGGGGCAGCAUGGUCUUAGCUUGCUAAGACUGAUGGCGACCGGCGCACGGGUGAGUAACACGUAUCCAACCUGCCGUCUACUCUUGGACAGCCUUCUGAAAGGAAGAUUAAUACAAGAUGGCAUCAUGAGUCCACAUGUUCACAUGAUUAAAGGUAUUCCGGUAGACGAUGGGGAUGCGUUCCAUUAGAUAGUAGGCGGGGUAACGGCCCACCUAGUCUUCGAUGGAUAGGGGUUCUGAGAGGAAGGUCCCCCACAUUGGAACUGAGACACGGUCCAAACUCCUACGGGAGGCAGCAGUGAGGAAUAUUGGUCAAUGGGCGAGAGCCUGAACCAGCCAAGUAGCGUGAAGGAUGACUGCCCUAUGGGUUGUAAACUUCUUUUAUAAAGGAAUAAAGUCGGGUAUGCAUACCCGUUUGCAUGUACUUUAUGAAUAAGGAUCGGCUAACUCCGUGCCAGCAGCCGCGGUAAUACGGAGGAUCCGAGCGUUAUCCGGAUUUAUUGGGUUUAAAGGGAGCGUAGAUGGAUGUUUAAGUCAGUUGUGAAAGUUUGCGGCUCAACCGUAAAAUUGCAGUUGAUACUGGAUAUCUUGAGUGCAGUUGAGGCAGGCGGAAUUCGUGGUGUAGCGGUGAAAUGCUUAGAUAUCACGAAGAACUCCGAUUGCGAAGGCAGCCUGCUAAGCUGCAACUGACAUUGAGGCUCGAAAGUGUGGGUAUCAAACAGGAUUAGAUACCCUGGUAGUCCACACGGUAAACGAUGAAUACUCGCUGUUUGCGAUAUACGGCAAGCGGCCAAGCGAAAGCGUUAAGUAUUCCACCUGGGGAGUACGCCGGCAACGGUGAAACUCAAAGGAAUUGACGGGGGCCCGCACAAGCGGAGGAACAUGUGGUUUAAUUCGAUGAUACGCGAGGAACCUUACCCGGGCUUAAAUUGCAGAUGAAUUACGGUGAAAGCCGUAAGCCGCAAGGCAUCUGUGAAGGUGCUGCAUGGUUGUCGUCAGCUCGUGCCGUGAGGUGUCGGCUUAAGUGCCAUAACGAGCGCAACCCUUGUUGUCAGUUACUAACAGGUUCUGCUGAGGACUCUGACAAGACUGCCAUCGUAAGAUGUGAGGAAGGUGGGGAUGACGUCAAAUCAGCACGGCCCUUACGUCCGGGGCUACACACGUGUUACAAUGGGGGGUACAGAGGGCCGCUACCACGCGAGUGGAUGCCAAUCCCCAAAACCUCUCUCAGUUCGGACUGGAGUCUGCAACCCGACUCCACGAAGCUGGAUUCGCUAGUAAUCGCGCAUCAGCCACGGCGCGGUGAAUACGUUCCCGGGCCU
RNAcentral lists this ribosomal RNA (1358 nucleotides) under uncultured bacterium. Its description in RNAcentral is "bacterial SSU rRNA". It matches the Rfam family "Bacterial small subunit ribosomal RNA", at positions 28 to 1381 of the family's 1533-position model. The record is from RNAcentral.